RNAcentral lists this ribosomal RNA (335 nucleotides) under uncultured bacterium. Its description in RNAcentral is "bacterial SSU rRNA". It matches the Rfam family "Bacterial small subunit ribosomal RNA", at positions 8 to 334 of the family's 1533-position model. The record is from RNAcentral.
AGAGUUUGAUUAUGGCUCAGGAUGAACGCUAGCUACAGGCCUAACACAUGCAAGUCGAGGGGCAGCGGGGAACAAGCUUGCUUGUUCCGCCGGCGACCGGCGCACGGGUGCGUAACGCGUAUCGAAUCUGCCCCAUACCCGGGAAUAGCCUUGCGAAAGUAAGAUUAAUGCCCGAUGUUCUCCGUAAUUCGCAUGUUUUUCGGAGCAAAGAUUCAUCGGUAUGGGAUGACGAUGCGUAGCAUUAGGUAGUAGGCGGGGUAACGGCCCACCUAGCCGACGAUGCUUAGGGGUUCUGAGAGGAAGGUCCCCCACACUGGAACUGAGACACGGUCCAG